RNAcentral lists this ribosomal RNA (495 nucleotides) under uncultured bacterium. Its description in RNAcentral is "bacterial SSU rRNA". It matches the Rfam family "Bacterial small subunit ribosomal RNA", at positions 15 to 507 of the family's 1533-position model. The record is from RNAcentral.
GAUCCUGGCUCAGAUUGAACGCUGGCGGCAUGCCUUACACAUGCAAGUCGAACGGUAACGGGCCUUCGGGUGCCGACGAGUGGCGAACGGGUGAGUAAUGCAUCGGAACGUACCUUUCAGUGGGGGAUAACGUAGCGAAAGUUACGCUAAUACCGCAUAUUCUGUGAGCAGGAAAGCAGGGGAUCGCAAGACCUUGCGCUGAUUGAGCGGCCGAUGUCAGAUUAGCUAGUUGGUGAGGUAAAGGCUCACCAAGGCGACGAUCUGUAGCGGGUCUGAGAGGAUGAUCCGCCACACUGGAACUGAGACACGGUCCAGACUCCUACGGGAGGCAGCAGUGGGGAAUUUUGGACAAUGGGGGCAACCCUGAUCCAGCCAUGCCGCGUGAGUGAAGAAGGCCUUCGGGUUGUAAAGCUCUUUCGGCCGGGAAGAAAUCGCAUGGGUUAAUACCCUGUGCGGAUGACGGUACCGGCGUAAGAAGCACCGGCUAACUACGUG